ACAAAAAUGCACAUGCUGUGAGCUCGAUGAGUAGGGCGGGACACGUGGUAUCCUGUCUGAAUAUGGGGGGACCAUCCUCCAAGGCUAAAUACUCCUGACUGACCGAUAGUGAACCAGUACCGUGAGGGAAAGGCGAAAAGAACCCCGGCGAGGGGAGUGAAAAAGAACCUGAAACCGUGUACGUACAAGCAGUGGGAGCCUCUUAAUGGGGUGACUGCGUACCUUUUGUAUAAUGGGUCAGCGACUUAUAUUCUGUAGCAAGGUUAACCGAAUAGGGGAGCCGAAGGGAAACCGAGUCUUAACUGGGCGUUAAGUUGCAGGGUAUAGACCCGAAACCCGGUGAUCUAGCCAUGGGCAGGUUGAAGGUUGGGUAACACUAACUGGAGGACCGAACCGACUAAUGUUGAAAAAUUAGCGGAUGACUUGUGGCUGGGGGUGAAAGGCCAAUCAAACCGGGAGAUAGCUGGUUCUCCCCGAAAGCUAUUUAGGUAGCGCCUCGUGAAUUCAUCUCCGGGGGUAGAGCACUGUUUCGGCAAGGGGGUCAUCCCGACUUACCAACCCGAUGCAAACUGCGAAUACCGGAGAAUGUUAUCACGGGAGACACACGGCGGGUGCUAACGUCCGUCGUGAAGAGGGAAACAACCCAGACCGCCAGCUAAGGUCCCAAAGUCAUGGUUAAGUGGGAAACGAUGUGGGAAGGCCCAGACAGCCAGGAUGUUGGCUUAGAAGCAGCCAUCAUUUAAAGAAAGCGUAAUAGCUCACUGGUCGAGUCGGCCUGCGCGGAAGAUGUAACGGGGCUAAACCAUGCACCGAAGCUGCGGCAGCGACACUAUGUGUUGUUGGGUAGGGGAGCGUUCUGUAAGCCUGUGAAGGUGGCCUGUGAGGG
This 886-nucleotide ribosomal RNA is filed under the name Escherichia coli. RNAcentral describes it as "partial 23S ribosomal RNA". It matches the Rfam family "Bacterial large subunit ribosomal RNA", at positions 379 to 1269 of the family's 2925-position model. Lineage: Bacteria; Pseudomonadati; Pseudomonadota; Gammaproteobacteria; Enterobacterales; Enterobacteriaceae. The record is from RNAcentral.